AGGCAGCAGUGGGGGAUAUUAGACAAUGGGGGAAACCCUGAUCUAGCAACGCCGCGUGAAGGAUGAAGGUUUUCGGAUUGUAAACUUCUUUGACGAGGGAAGAUAAUGACGGUACCUCGAGAACAAGCCACGGCUAACUACGUGCCAGCAGCCGCGGUAAUACGUAGGUGGCGAGCGUUGUCCGGAUUUACUGGGUGUAAAGGGCCCUAUGAGCUUCCCGAGGAGUUUGCCCACCUUCAGGCGCAGGAUAUGUCCAAGAUCGGCUUCAUC
This 270-nucleotide ribosomal RNA is filed under the name Clostridia bacterium. RNAcentral's name for it is "partial 16S ribosomal RNA". It matches the Rfam family "Bacterial small subunit ribosomal RNA", at positions 346 to 633 of the family's 1533-position model. Lineage: Bacteria; Bacillati; Bacillota; Clostridia. The record is from RNAcentral.